This 253-nucleotide ribosomal RNA is filed under the name uncultured bacterium. Its description in RNAcentral is "partial 16S ribosomal RNA". It matches the Rfam family "Bacterial small subunit ribosomal RNA", at positions 524 to 776 of the family's 1533-position model. The record is from RNAcentral.
UACGUAGGUGACGAGCGUUAUCCGGAUUUAAUGGGCGUAAAGCGCUUGUAGGUGGUCUUGUAAGUUGGGCGUGAAAACACCGGGCUUAACUCGGUGACGCCGUCCAAGACUGCGAGACUGGAGGAUGUCAGAGGAAGGUGGAAUUCCUGGUGUAGUGGUGAAAUGCGUAGAUAUCAGGAGGAACACCCGUGGCGAAGGCGGCCUUCUGGGGCAUUCCUGACACUGAGACGCGAAAGCUAGGGGAGCAAACAGG